This 572-nucleotide long non-coding RNA is filed under the name Penaeus japonicus. Its description in RNAcentral is "uncharacterized LOC122263499". Lineage: Eukaryota; Metazoa; Arthropoda; Malacostraca; Decapoda; Penaeidae. The record is from RNAcentral.
AAGCAUCUUCCUCCCUCAGAUGAGACACCCUUACACUGUGCUUCCGAGAACGGCCAAGAUGCUGUUGCAGAGACGCUCCUCGAGAAGGGCGGAGAAGUGAACGCCAAGAAUCCAUUUGGUGGGACUCCCUUACACCUUGCUUCCUUGAACGGCCAUGGUGCUGUUGUAGAGACGCUCCUCGAGAAGGGCGGAGAAGUGAACGCCAAGACUUUGAUUGGUGAGACACCCUUACACUGGGCUUCCGAGAACGGCCAUUAUACUGUUGCGGAGACGCUCCUUGAGAAGGGCGGAGAAGUGAACGCCAAGACUAACAAUGGUAACGAUUGGGAAGCGAGUGACUUCAUAAAGGCACCAGAAGAAUUUUGCUUUUGUUUCUUUUCUCUUUUUUGUCUUCAUGGAAAUUUAUAACAAUUAUUAUUCAGAUCUAAUAAGGAUACCUCUAUCAUCAGCUUUUCUUAUUUCUUCAUCAUUCAUUAUUCUUUUCUAUUUAUCCAUUCCUUAUGUUUUAGUUGUUUAUUUGAGUUAUUUGUAAAUGUUACUUAUUCAUUAUCAUUUAUCAUAUGAAUUUCAAU